RNAcentral lists this ribosomal RNA (302 nucleotides) under uncultured bacterium. RNAcentral describes it as "partial 16S ribosomal RNA". It matches the Rfam family "Bacterial small subunit ribosomal RNA", at positions 508 to 807 of the family's 1533-position model. The record is from RNAcentral.
GCAGCAGCCGCGGGAAAACAGAGGGUGCAAGCGUUAAUCGGAAUUACUGGGCGUAAAGCGCGCGUAGGUGGUUCGCCAAGUUGGAUGUGAAAUCCCCGGGCUCAACCUGGGAACUGCAUCCAAAACUGGCGAGCUAGAGUAUGGUAGAGGGUGGUGGAAUUUCCUGUGUAGCGGUGAAAUGCGUAGAUAUAGGAAGGAACAUCAGUGGCGAAGGCGACCACCUGGACUGAUACUGACACUGAGGUGCGAAAGCGUGGGGAGCAAACAGGAUUAGAUACCCCAGUAGUCCCUGUCUCUUAUAC